UUGUCUAAACAUGAUAUCAUGCCAUUUGACUGGAGAAUUUUGCAUGGAAUAACAUCAAACGCAGAUAAGUAUAAAAAGCAAAUAGGGCCCAAAUUUUAUUUAACAAACCCACAUUUAUUUCGAAGAAGAUUUGGUCUCCCACCAUGCUACUUGAACAAGUCUAUUAGAAACCACCCAUAGAACUAUCUUAAUCAACAUGGCUCAUAACAACCAUAACCACAAUAAGAAAACCAUCCAUAGUUGCGAUUCUGUAAGAAAUUAAUCAUAAGGUGUUGCCACAAAUUGUUUGACAAUACAAACAGCAGAAAAGGAAUACACAUGGGAAGAUUUAAAUAGGAAGGCCCAAUCCCAACCAACCAAAUUAAGAAGAGAACAAAGUUAUCCAUUUCCCUCAUCAUUUAUUUCCAAUUUCCCAGAAACAAACCAGGACACAAACAACAACAUUCCAAAAAACCCUCCACCCACUCACCAUCCAAAAGAAACAGACAAACAAAAAGAUUGGAAAAUGGAAUUUGCUGCAUAAUAGAACAAGUGGUAAAGAUAAAUACC
RNAcentral lists this unclassified non-coding RNA (549 nucleotides) under Hevea brasiliensis (rubber tree). The record is from RNAcentral. Lineage: Eukaryota; Viridiplantae; Streptophyta; Magnoliopsida; Malpighiales; Euphorbiaceae.